CCUACGGGAGGCAGCAGUGAGGAAUAUUGGUCAAUGGGCGAGAGCCUGAACCAGCCAAGUCGCGUGAAGGAUGACGGCCCUACGGGUUGUAAACUUCUUUUGUCAGGGAGCAAUUGAGUCCACGUGUGGUCUUAGCGAGAGUACCUGAAGAAAAAGCAUCGGCUAACUCCGUGCCAGCAGCCGCGGUAAUACGGAGGAUGCGAGCGUUAUCCGGAUUUAUUGGGUUUAAAGGGAGCGUAGACGGUGAGACAAGUCUGAAGUGAAAGCCCGGGGCUCAACCCCGGGACUGCUUUGGAAACUGCCUGACUGGAGUGCUGGAGAGGCAAGCGGAAUUCCUAGUGUAGCGGUGAAAUGCGUAGAUAUUAGGAAGAACACCAGUGGCGAAGGCGGCUUGCUGGACAGUAACUGAUGUUGAGGCUCGAAAGCGUGGGGAGCAAACAGGAUUAGAUACCCGAGUAGUC
Molecule: ribosomal RNA, 461 nt
Filed under: uncultured bacterium
Lineage: Bacteria
Description: partial 16S ribosomal RNA
Rfam family: Bacterial small subunit ribosomal RNA
Source: RNAcentral